Molecule: ribosomal RNA, 660 nt
Filed under: uncultured bacterium
Lineage: Bacteria
Description: bacterial SSU rRNA
Rfam family: Bacterial small subunit ribosomal RNA
Source: RNAcentral
AGUGGCGGACGGGUGAGUAACGCGUGAGAAUCUGCCUUGGGGUCGGGGACAACCACUGGAAACGGUGGCUAAUACCGGAUAAGCCGAUUGGUGAAAGAUUUAUUGCCCGAAGAGGAGCUCGCGUCUGAUUAGCUAGUUGGUGAGGUAAGAGCUCACCAAGGCAGCGAUCAGUAGCUGGUCUGAGAGGACGAUCAGCCACACUGGGACUGAGACACGGCCCAGACUCCUACGGGAGGCAGCAGUGGGGAAUUUUCCGCAAUGGGCGAAAGCCUGACGGAGCAAGACCGCGUGAGGGAGGAAGGCUCUUGGGUUGUAAACCUCUUUUCUCAGGGAAGAAGCUCUGACGGUACCUGAGGAAUCAGCCUCGGCUUACUCCGUGCCAGCAGCCGCGGUAAUACGGAGGAGGCAAGCGUUAUCCGGAAUUAUUGGGCGUAAAGCGUCCGCAGGUGGCGAUUCAAGUCUGCUGUCAAAGCACGGGGCUUAACUCCGUAAAGGCAGUGGAAACUGAAUAGCUAGAGUGCCGUAGGGGUAGAGGGAAUUCCCGGUGUAGCGGUGAAAUGCGUAGAGAUCGGGAAGAACAUCGGUGGCGAAAGCGCUCUACUGGACGGCAACUGACACUCAGGGACGAAAGCUAGGGGAGCGAAUGGGAUUAGAUACCCC